Long non-coding RNA from Panthera uncia (snow leopard), 447 nucleotides. RefSeq lists it as uncharacterized. The transcript has 2 exons. Lineage: Eukaryota; Metazoa; Chordata; Mammalia; Carnivora; Felidae. The record is from RefSeq and is a predicted model, not a curated record.
AGAAGCAGCAGCGUGUUCCAACACAUCUUUUGCUCCAAAAAGGUGACACUUGUCCUCGAACCCAAUGGGACCUCAGGAGCUACAGGCAAUAGGAGAUAUACCACAGGCUGAGGGACACCAGCUGUGAGCUAUCUGAAUGAAUGAUAAGACGCCGAAUGCGAAGAGGUGUGACCAUCUUCCUGGAUCUGCCUCCUGUGUUGUGAUGCAGCUCUUGGUUUGUGGUGAGUCCUAACUGACUCUCUUCCACGUGGCACUUAACUGCACAGCAGAGUACCCUUACCCGGGUUAACAGGAAACAUAAAAACGGAUGUCUCAUGACGCGUCAAAGGGGUCUUGCGCCUGGACCUAUGGAGCUGCAUUGAUUGGAUGGUCUCACAUUGCUCUGUCUUGACUCUCUGGAUUUUCACUUUGUGGGUAACUUUUUAAAAUUAAAAAAAAUUUUUUUUU